Molecule: unclassified non-coding RNA, 547 nt
Filed under: Hevea brasiliensis (rubber tree)
Lineage: Eukaryota; Viridiplantae; Streptophyta; Magnoliopsida; Malpighiales; Euphorbiaceae
Source: RNAcentral
GGAGUCCAGUGAAUACAACUGAGGAUUAUUGGAAGGGGAUGUCUUCAUAUUAUGAAGGGAUUUUCAAGGCUGUAGGGAAGACUAUGAGUGUGUGUUUGGCUGCUAAUAGUUUAACGGAUUCUGACCCUUUUAUAUCUGCUUUGGAGCUUGUUUUGGUGUCGGAUUCGUUGUAUAAUUCUACAGAUUUUAAUAUUUAUGGAUUGACUUUGAUUACAAGGAGCAGUUUUGGGAACAAUGGAUCAAUUAUCAAAUAUCCUGAUGAUGAAUUUGAUCGUUACUGGGAGCCCUAUGGACAACAUUCUCCUGCAGAAAGUUUCAGUCAUGUUUCUGUUUCUGGUAUCUGGAAUCACCCUCCGGCAAAAGUAUUUCGGACACGGUUAACAGUACCUAAGCCCGAAGCUAUGGAGUUAUUAUGGCCUCCAGCACCUCUCCCAAACGCAACGUAUUACAUAGCUCUUUACUUUGCUGAUGAUCAAAAUUCAUUCUCAGGAAGAGCUUUCAACAUAAGCAUAAAUGAUAUAGUGUUUUAUCCCAACCUUAAUGUUGC